RNAcentral lists this transfer RNA (73 nucleotides) under Zavarzinella sp. Its description in RNAcentral is "tRNA-Ala". It matches the Rfam family "tRNA". Rfam says of the family: Transfer RNA (tRNA) molecules are approximately 80 nucleotides in length. RNAcentral also lists the same sequence under 4 other names. The record is from RNAcentral. Lineage: Bacteria; Pseudomonadati; Planctomycetota; Planctomycetia; Gemmatales; Gemmataceae.
GGGGCGGUAGCUCAGUUGGGAGAGCGCUGCAAUCGCACUGCAGAGGUCGAGGGUUCGACUCCCUUCCGCUCCA